UGUUCUUGUUUAUUUCUUUCUUCAAUAAUCUCAUCUAGCUUGGACAGCCUCUACAUUACAUUAAAUAAAAAUAAAGAAAUAUAGUGUUGAUAUGGUUUGUGUAUCACAGUAAGUGCAAGAUUUAGAGACUACAAAAAGUGAUCUCCAAAACGGAAAACCAGGAAAGACAUUGACGUAUUUCCUUAUGUCUGAAUUCUUCUCAGUGCUUUUGAACAGUGCCAGAGCUUCUAAUGUACUUUAAAAGACCUUAAAAAUUCAGGGAAAUAUUCAGUUUGAAGCACAAAGCUCUCCUCAGAAGCUAUUUUCUAUCACAGCAUUUCCUGGUUUGAUUUACGUCCAUA
RNAcentral lists this long non-coding RNA (341 nucleotides) under Naja naja (Indian cobra). RNAcentral describes it as "lncRNA (ENSNNAG00000009945.1)". The record is from RNAcentral. Lineage: Eukaryota; Metazoa; Chordata; Lepidosauria; Squamata; Elapidae.